Hibiscus syriacus is the source of this 327-nucleotide long non-coding RNA. RefSeq lists it as uncharacterized. The transcript has 4 exons. The record is from RefSeq and is a predicted model, not a curated record. NCBI's taxonomy places the organism in Eukaryota, Viridiplantae, Streptophyta, Magnoliopsida, Malvales, Malvaceae.
CCUCUAUAGAAACUUGAGUAGAAACACAAUUCAUGGGGCCAUCCCAUCAUCACUUGGAACAGUCACCACCUUACAAUUCUUGGAUCUCUCCUACAAUUCCCUCAACGGAUCAAUUCCUGAAAGCCUGGGACAGUUGACAGCAUUACGCAGAUUGAAUCUUAAUGGCAACUCUCUGUCUGGAAGAGUCCCGGCUGCACUUGGAGGAAGGCUUUUGAAUGGAGAUAGCUUCAAUUUUACCGAUAAUGCUGGCCUCUGCGGCAUACCCGGACUACGUACAUGUGGACUGCACCUCUCUGCUGGUGCAAAGGUCGGCAUCGUCUUCUUUGC